UGCGUAGGUGGUCGGGUAAGUCUGAUGUGAAAUCUCCGAGCUUAACUCGGAAAUGGCAUUGGAUACUAUUCGGCUAGAGGGUUUGAGGGGGGACUGGAAUACUUGGUGUAGCAGUGAAAUGCGUAGAUAUCAAGUGGAACACCAGUGGCGAAGGCGAGUCCCUGGAAAACUCCUGACACUGAGGCACGAAAGCUAGGGGAGCAAAC
RNAcentral lists this ribosomal RNA (206 nucleotides) under uncultured bacterium. RNAcentral's name for it is "partial 16S ribosomal RNA". It matches the Rfam family "Bacterial small subunit ribosomal RNA", at positions 568 to 773 of the family's 1533-position model. The record is from RNAcentral.